AUUGAACGCUGGCGGCAGGCCUAACACAUGCAAGUCGAGCGGAUGAAGGGAGCUUGCUCUUGGAUUCAGCGGCGGACGGGUGAGUAAUGCCUAGGAAUCUGCCUGGUAGUGGGGGAUAACGUCCGGAAACGGGCGCUAAUACCGCAUACGUCCUGAGGGUGAAAGUGGGGGAUCUUCGGACCUCACGCUAUCAGAUGAGCCUAGGUCGGAUUAGCUAGUUGGUGGGGUAAAGGCCUACCAAGGCGACGAUCCGUAACUGGUCUGAGAGGAUGAUCAGCCACACUGGAACUGGGACACGGUCCAGACUCCUACGGGAGGCAGCAGUGGGGAAUAUUGGACAAUGGGCGCAAGCCUGAUCCAGCCAUGCCGCGUGUGUGAAGAAGGUCUUCGGAUUGUAAAGCACUUUAAGUUGGGAGGAAGGGCAGUAAGUUAAUACCUUGCUGUUUUGACGUUACCAAAAGAAUAAGCACCGGCUAACUUCGUG
RNAcentral lists this ribosomal RNA (484 nucleotides) under uncultured bacterium. RNAcentral describes it as "partial 16S ribosomal RNA". It matches the Rfam family "Bacterial small subunit ribosomal RNA", at positions 30 to 507 of the family's 1533-position model. The record is from RNAcentral.